This 29-nucleotide non-coding RNA is filed under the name Homo sapiens (human). Lineage: Eukaryota; Metazoa; Chordata; Mammalia; Primates; Hominidae. The record is from RNAcentral.
UAGUGUGUCGACUUCUGACUUGGCUCAUC